CUUCGACAGUGACAUCGUUCCGGAGGGUAAAUGUUUACGGAAGUUUGCCAAGUUAUUCAUAAUUUUUCAAGAGUUGCAUGUUCAAGUUCUUAAUCUACCGUAGCGAAAUUGGUCAUGUUGUGCUGUGUUAACGAAAAGCUGUUCAUCACGCUACUUUACUACAGUUGGCACUUGAGAUGACCUUCGAUUGUUGUCGCUUCGUUGGUCAAGUUAUCAACCCCGGGCUUCUACAAGGAAGCUUUUGGUACGCGUUUGACUAGAGAGGUCCCGCGCUCGCAGUAAAGCUUCACGAAUGGUAAAGCAGUUCUGUAGCAACAGAUCAGUUCUUGCUGGAAGAACCAGAAUUGAAGGAAAUGUGCGCACACGGGUUGGAUUUACGAACCUUUCACUUAAUUGGCUGAUGAUUCUUGGUAUUCAAGAUGUCGACAAGAUAGAUGUAGGCGUCAUUUCAUUCAGUUUCUAAAUUUUCCAAAGUGAGCUUUUCCCUAGAAUUCUGAUGGUUUGUAAGUUCGGUUUCUCGUUUAUUGUACUUUCGUUAACCUAUCAUUUUCUGUUUGUUUUUUUCUAAAUUUAAUAAAUAAUGUAGAUAAUGGGU
Macrobrachium nipponense is the source of this 595-nucleotide long non-coding RNA. RefSeq lists it as uncharacterized. The record is from RefSeq and is a predicted model, not a curated record. The transcript has 3 exons. Lineage: Eukaryota; Metazoa; Arthropoda; Malacostraca; Decapoda; Palaemonidae.